Molecule: ribosomal RNA, 460 nt
Filed under: uncultured bacterium
Lineage: Bacteria
Description: partial 16S ribosomal RNA
Rfam family: Bacterial small subunit ribosomal RNA
Source: RNAcentral
CCUACGGGGUGCAGCAGUGAGGAAUAUUGGUCAAUGGGCGAGAGCCUGAACUAGCCAAGUCGCGUGAGGGAAGACGGUCCUAUGGAUUGUAAACCUCUUUUGUCGGGGAGCAAAAAGGCCUCGUGAGGCCACAAGUGAGAGUACCCGAAGAAAAAGCAUCGGCUAACUCCGUGCCAGCAGCCGCGGUAAUACGGAGGAUGCGAGCGUUAUCCGGAUUUAUUGGGUUUAAAGGGUGCGCAGGCGGCCUGUUAAGUCAGCGGUAAAAGCCCGGGGCUCAACCCCGGCGAGCCGUUGAAACUGGCGGGCUGGAGUUGGAGAGAAGUACGCGGAAUGCGCGGUGUAGCGGUGAAAUGCUGAGAUAUCGCGCAGAACCCCGAUUGCGAAGGCAGCGUACCGGCUCCACACUGACGCUGAGGCACGAAAGCGUGGGUAUCGAACAGGAUUAGAUACCCUUGUAGUC